RNAcentral lists this long non-coding RNA (221 nucleotides) under Lathyrus oleraceus (garden pea). RNAcentral's name for it is "Pisum sativum (pea) long non-coding RNA (PSAT_LNC028488)". The record is from RNAcentral. Lineage: Eukaryota; Viridiplantae; Streptophyta; Magnoliopsida; Fabales; Fabaceae.
UAUUCUUAAUUCAUUCUUAAAUUUAGUUUAUUUCUUUCAUUUGUCAUGAACUUUCUAUGUAAUAGAUUUAAUUAGGAUUUUUUUUUUAUUUCUUUCUUUUUAGUUUAAUUAGGUUUUAUUUUUUUGUAUGCCCUUUUAAUUUUGUACUCGUUAAUUAAGAUUUAGAUAUUUUAUAUCCCCUUUUAAAUUAUGUACCCCCAUCCCGAAGCCAUGUAAUAGCG